Molecule: long non-coding RNA, 160 nt
Organism: Melitaea cinxia (Glanville fritillary)
Lineage: Eukaryota; Metazoa; Arthropoda; Insecta; Lepidoptera; Nymphalidae
Exons: 4
Source: RefSeq, a predicted model, not a curated record
UUUGUAAUUUCUUUGUAUCAAAACCUGGUGUCCUGAAACACAGGCCUCGAGCCUAGCUUAGGCACCAGUCUCCCACAAUAUUAGUGCUCAUGUUAUUAUGUACCUAUCUAAUGUCCUGUUAGCAAUAUUGUGGUGAGAAAAUAAAUAAAUAUUAUUAUUA